CAAACAUGGAAAACUUGGAAUUCGCAAUUGUGACCCCCCCAUCAACAAAAAGGUUGUGUCCAUGAACACACUUCGACUCAUCACUAGCCAAGAACAGAACAGCUUCAGCCACAUCCUCUGGCUUAAGUAGAACACCUUUGAGGAUAGAAUAUACAUUGCCGAAUCCCUCAUCAUCCAUUUUGUAGAAAUCCUUCGACUGUCGUGUAGGAACUACGUGUGGUGACACACAAUUUACGCGAAUACCAUAUUUUCCAAGCUCCACAGCCAAAUUCUUCGUGAGUCCUACCACCCCAUGUUUUGAACUUACAUAAUUGUGUGAAGAACCACCGCCUAUUUUCGAACAAGUACUCGCUGUCGUGAUUAUGUUCCCACUGCGAUUCGGGAUCAUUACCCGAGCAGCGUGUUUAGCACCCAAGAACGCACCUACAAGGUUUACAUUAAUAAUCUUUUCGAACUCUGAUUUUUCGAUUUCAAGAAUGCUUGGAUUUGGUAUCCCCCCAAUACCAGCAUUAUUGUGCAGAAUGUCUAAUUUCCCAAAUUUGGCAACAGCCGUGUCAACUGCAGUUUCUACAUCGGAUUCUUUAGUUACAUCACAGUGGACAAAAGAGGCUGAUGAUUUUCCCAAUUCCUUGCAUACUUUCUCUCCCAAUUCAUCAUUGACGUCUGCAACCAGAACUUUAGCACCAUGUUUGGCGAACAGUCUGGCAGUCGCCUCGCCGAUUCCAGUAGCAGCACCGGUGAUUAAUGCUACCUUCCCUUCCAGCCUAGGUUCAUACAUUUUGUUAGUACAAUAUUCAUAGUCAACCCAACUAUCAAAAUAACAUGCCUUGUACUUUGAGAAAGAAACCUCAAGAAUUAAUAGUUUAUCAGAAUGCAGUAUCAUGAAAAAUUAAAGAGUAAUACCUUCUAAUCAAAGUUGAAGCCAUUGAUGAACUUCCCACAGAGCUUCUUUGCUGCGAAUGUGAAUUGGUGUUUCUCUGCACUUUUAAACGUCUUUUAUAAUGCUAAUCGUAGAGAUAAUAAAGACGUUCACACGCAAGUUGGCAUUUAUUUUUAACUAAUCUGAUUUUCUAGAGGACUAUUCUCUCUUUCGAAGUAAUUUCCAACUCAAUUAGGCAUUUAUUUCUUAAUAAACUCCUGAUUUUUAGGAUAAUUGUUAUCUCUUUCCUUGUCAUAUCCAACGCAAUUAGUCAUUUUUUCCUAACUAAUCUGAUUUUUCAGACAGUCAUUGUCAACGCAAGCAGGCAUUUAUUUCUGACUAGUCUUAUUUUUCAGAUAAUUGUUAUCUGUUCCCACGUCAUUUCCAACGCAAGAUCUGAUUUUACAGAUAAUUAUUAUCUGUUUCCACGUCAUUUCCACGUACUUGUGUCCACGAUGAUUGAAUUAUUGCAAUACUUCAAAUAAUUUUCACGCGGCCUUCUCGAAAAUAGAAUUAAUUCACUUCUUAACAUUAUCAGUCUCAUUAAAGUUUAUAAGGUUGAAUGAUAGCACACUAAUUUACUUUAUUUUGUUUGACCUAAAUAUUUAAGUAUUGUAGAAGAUAAAAGAAAUCAAUAUUGGAAUUAUUUUGUAACUUACAUUAAAGGAAAAAAUAUGUAAAUACAACACUUUAAGUAUACAAUUUCACAUUUAACAAAUUCAUAAAAAUGUUUUAUAAAUCAAGUGCUAAAUGAUAAUAUUAUAUACAUUAUUGAAGCUGAAAUUUAGGGACUAUAGUUUAAAUUAGAAAUAUUUGAUAAACAUUAUCACAACAUAGUAAGUAGCAUUAUACUCCCUCCGCCCCAUUUAUAUAGGCUGAUUUUUUUAUUUUUUAUUUUUUUUUGGGUUCCAAUUAUAGUCCAGUUUCUUUAUUGAGAAUAUUUUGUUUUGUUUGUUUACUAAUAUACCCACAUUUAAUUUGCUUAGUUAUAACCAAAAUUUCUCAUUUAAUCUUGAAAUUGUACAAACAUAAAUAAGGGCAAUCUAGAAUUUUUUUUUUAAUAACAUUAAAUAAGUUUUCUUAAUUCCUAUGAAAAACAAAACCAUCGUAUAUAAAUAAGACGGAGGGAAUAUAUCGUUAAUAUAUAACAGAGUCUCUCACCUUGCAUUCUCUCUCUCCUCGCAUUUUCUCCCCCUUACAAUAAAUAACUCAUGACUCACCAAAAAUCUUCUACACCUCACUCUUUCAUUCUCUAUGUUAGCUUACGCAUUUUUGUAUAAUGCUAUUUGUACAUAAUAAUUUACAUAAACAUGAUGUGAUGAAAUAAAUUGAGUCAAAAUUUCUUCAAUAAAAAAAAUUCACUCACUUUUUGACACAUCAUCUGUAUGCAACUUAUUAUGUAACUCUAUUAAAUACAAGUAGCAUUUUUUUUUUUAAUUUGGUUGAAAAAAUUAUGAUCCAAUCAUAACUCAUUAUAUUAUGUGUAUGUAAAUUAUUAUGUAUAUGUAGCACAAUCACAAUUUUUUUUUUAUCUCUCUACUAUAUAUUAUUAAAUAGACUACAUAUACAUAAUGGUUUACAUACACAUGAUUUUGGUGAAAUAUACAAGUAACAUUAUUUUUUUCUUUUUAUUUGGUUGAAGAAAUUAUGACAUGAUCAUAACUCACUAUAUCGUGUGUAUGUAAAUCAUUAUAUAUAUGUAGCACAAUCGCACUUUUUCCUCUCUCUACUAUAUUUUAUUCAAUGGGUUACGCUACGUGUACAUAUUGAUUUAUAUAGAAAUGAUGUAGUGAGAUAUGAUAAGGUUAGAAUUUUUUCAACAAAAAAAAAUUUGUCUCUUUUUACACAUCAUCUGUAUGUAAACCAUUAUAUAACUCUAUUAUAUACAAUUAACAUUAUUCUUUUAUGCCCCCAGGGCAUAUCUCCCAGUGGCAAAUGGGAGGGCGGAUAGGGCUCAGCGCGGCAGUGUGCAGAGUUUGAUUCCCCGCAAGGUGGAAUUGGCUUUGUUGCAAGCGGGAGUUACCAUAUGGGUUAACAGCCUUGACCUAUCCAUGUGCUCUCCACCCUGGCUCCUGGGAGGCACAUCCUGCGAUUUACCUCCCCCACGAUGGCCCAGGGCAGGGUCGGUGGGGGCCCUUAAGGUUGGGGUUCAACCUUUUAACAUUAUUCUUUUCUUUAUUUGGUUGAAGAAAUUAUGACCCAAUUAUAACUCACUAUACCAUGUUUAUGUAAAUUAGUAUGUACAUGUAGCAAAAUCGCACUCUUUUUUUCCUCUCUAUUAUGUAUUAUUUAAUGGGUUGUGCUACAUGUAAAGAAUGGUUUACAUAAACAUGAUGUUGUGAGAUAUAAUUAAUUCAUUAUUUCUUUAACCCAAAAAAAGUAAAUAAAUAAAUAAAUUCUCCACUCUCUUUUUGACACCUUAUUAGUAUGUAAGUUCAGCCUCAAUUUGGGAUUCAUUCACCUCUACAGGUUCAAGAACAAGUUUAGUUUGCUGAUGAACAAGAUUAUUAUUAUCAUCUUCAGUUCAGCCUCAAUUUGGGUUUCAUUCACCUCUACAGGUCCUGGAGUAGAUUUAGUUUGCUGAUGAACAGGAUUAUUACUAUCAUCUUCAGGUUGAGGUAAGUCAAAUUUAGCUAACUUCAUCUCACUUUGAACUGUCCUGUCAUUUUCAAAUUUAUUUAUCUUACUAAAUUCUUAUUUUAGACAUGACAUUUCAAAUUCAUUGAAGACUAUAUGUCUACUAUUGAUGAUCUUAAUGCCCGGGACACCAAAAACCCAUAACAUGUAUUUUUUCACACUUUCUAGGUAACCUAGUGAUAAGUGUAUUUUAUACACUUAUUCGGGACUCUAAAAUAACGAUAUUUGAUAGUUCUUUGGCAAAAUACAUUCUAAAUUGUUGUCUUUUACGUUUAACAGGUGAAAAUCUACGAUUGAAAAGGAAGUGAAGGAGAGAAGCAAAAACGAGCGGAAAUAGCAAAAUCCAAAGUACAUGAAUUAAAUUGGCCAUUGGAUGCAAUUUUUGGGAAUCAAAGUCUAACUAUAAAAAUUGGACUGAUUUGCAUCGCUUUGAAAAUUGAGUACUUGGAGAAAAAUAAUCUACUAAGUGGGCUCAAUUGGACUUGCUUUGAAAUUCAAAUUGAAGAUUUACUAGGACGGUUGGACCUCUAAUUGGACUAGAAGAGCUGCUAGGUUGCAUUGCAUCGUAGGAUUCAUAUAUAUACACACAGAAAAUCCAAAGAGCCGGGGGGAGCAGCCUGGGAAAUAAUAUACAUUGGCAGCUACAAGAAUUAGGGAGACAGAAAAAAAAACAAGAGGCAGGUCGGCAUCUUUGGGAGGAGAAUUCUGCCAUCAAAGAUAUAAACACAAGUGCCGACUGCUAGGGGAUAGAGUGGAGAAAAAUCUGUGCUUUACUGGAGUGAGAAACACGCACAUAAAACGAAGGAAGAGGGGAUAGAUACAAGUUGCUGGCGGCAAGGAAGAAUUGGAGAAGAAAGAAGCAGCCAAUUAAUAUUUAGACUCACGCACAAAGAAAACGUCACCAGCUAGGAGGAACAAUAAUUAUAUACACGCAGUUGCAAUAUUAUAUAUUUACACAAACAUUGGGCGGUGACGUGAAGGAUUGUUCGGCACAAACACGGAAGUAGAUAUAUACACAUACGCCCACAGAUUCAUAAGGGUUGUUGCCGGCUGGUUUCAUUAAAAAAUUAUACACACGGGAAGACACUUUGGCAGAAAACAUAAAACACAUACACGCAUAGCAAAGACCAGAUUUGGAGAUUGAAUUGAAGGCUGUUUUUGGAGGGUUGCUUUUGGCUGAAAUAUAACACAUUGGCAUGAGCUUUUUGGGAAGAAAAAGAUACAAAAAGGAGGCAACCCAUUGGAAUAAAAAGAGAAAGACGGAGAUUUACUUUGGAAAUUAUUCACGUUUCGUUAAUUUCUCGGUGACGUUCUUCCAAUUUUAUGUGUUUAAUUUCAACAUCAUGUUAGGCUAAUUUUUCUCAUGUAUUGGAUGACGAUAAAAUUCGUUAUUAUUUAUUUUUAAUUCAAGACAUGUGGUUUAGUUAAAUUCUUGCAAUUAUUGAUUAAUCUUGCAUGCUUACUUUUAUUAUUUGAUUGUCUGAUCACCAAUUAAAUAUAUAGUUACUUAUUGUAGUGUUGGGAGGUUCACAAUAAGUUUAGAACAUUGCAUGAUUAACAUAUGUACAAUAAAUUUUAGGAAUAAGAUUUAUAACGUGUGCAAUCUUUGAGAUAAUUGUGAAAUUGAAUACAUUUUAUUCAUAUGAAUUCAGACUAGGAAUAAGAUUUAUCACGUGUGCAAUCUUUGAGAUAAUUGUGAAAUUGAAUACAUUUUAUUCAUAUGAAUUCAGACUAGGAAUAAAAUCGGAUCGUGAAUAGGAUAGAUUUAAUUUGUCUUGGAAAGGAAAAUUAAUUACAAUAAAAUUAUCGAUUGUCAAGAAUGCAAGAGCGAAACUAGCUACGUAAUCGAGAAUUGGAAUAGAUAAUAAUAAGUGGAUUCGUAAUCCAACACAUUCUUCCCAUAUACAUUUUAAAUUCGCAUUUUAUACAUUUUCAUAGAUUUCACAAAAAUCACUUUUAAUUUGUUCGCUUUGAAUCUAAUUAAGAACUAAUACACUAAGUUAAAUUUUAUUCCUCGUGGGACGAUACUCUAACUCACUAAAUCUAUUACUUGUACAACGAACCCAUACGUUUGCGAAAUUCACACGAACACCUAGCAUCAGACAUUUGAUGGUCCUAAGUUCAAGUUUCCCUUCAAAUUGAUGUGCAUAUGCAGUACAUCUAAAAACUCUUAUAUGGGUUAAGUUUAGGGGCUCCCCUAUCCACAAUUUUUAUGGAGUUUUAAAGCUUAUACUGCUAGAGGGAGACUUGUUUAUCAAGUAAGCUGUUGUACAAGUAGCUUUAGCCCAAAAACCUUUGGCCAAGCCAAAACUGAUAAGCAUGAAUCUAUAUUUAUUCAUUAUGGCCAAGUUCAUUCUCUCAACAACCCCAUUUUGUUGAGGCAUGUAUUUUAUAGUCCUAUAUCUCAUUAUUUACAAAAAUUAUCAAAUUCUACAUUACAAAAUUCAAGCUCAUUAUCAGUUCUUAGUGUUUUUAAUUUUUCUCUAACUAAUUUUCAACAGCUUUGAGCCAAGUUCUAAACUUGUGAAAGGUUUCAGACUUAGCCUAUAAAGGGUAAAUACAAACCUUCCUAGAAAAAUCAUUUAUAAGGGAUAGAAAGUAAUUAUACCAAAUGUAGAAUGCUUCUCAAGACACCAAAGUUCACCAUGUAUAUAGUCCAAGGACCUAUUAGUUCUAUGUGAGAUAGACUCAAAACUCACCUUGUCAGACUUAUCCAAUACAUAAGUCUCACAAAAGUCCACAGUCUCAAUAACAUCUUUUUCAAGUAAUUUUUGAUUACUUAAAGAUUUUAAUCUUUAUUUCCAAUAUGACCCAUUCUAUUGUGCCAAAGUUCAGAUUUAUUUUCAUUUACAGUUAGUAGACUUGGAUUAGGUGCUAUAACUGUUUUGCUUUCUAGAUAAUAUAGACCAUUUCUUUUAGGUCCUUUCAUUACAAUUAAAGAGGCCCUCAUAAUUUUCAAAGUUUUAUUAUCAGAUUUGAAGGUAUAUCCCUCAUCUUCAAGGAACUCUAAUGAAAUAAAGUUCCUUUUCAAAUUCGGGAUAUAUUUCACAUUCUUGAUUGGCCUGACAAUGCCAUCAAACAUUUCGAUAGCAAUAUCACCAGUUCCAUUCAUACUCUGAGAAUUAUUAUCUCCCAGAUACACAUUUCCAAGUUCUAUUUCCUUAUAAUUAUAAAACCAUGAUCUUUCAGGGCACAUAUGACAACUGUAUCCAAUAUCUAGAAUCCAAUCUUUAUUAGGUUCUUCAUUUGACACGUUUAGUAUAUGUAAGCUAUCUAAUUCAGAUAAAUGCAAAAUUAUAGAACAAUAGGCAAUUUCAUUCAUCUCUUCAAUUUCAGCAGUUUUUGCUUUUAACUCAUAGAAAAUGUUUCAAGAUCAUCAAGAACCUUUACAACCCUUUUUGGACUAAGUUGGCCCUCAUUUUCUGCUUCCGUAUAGGAUAGUCCCCCUUUCUAUUGAAUUGAGACAAUUUGACUUUCAAACCCAUUAUGGAUUCCGUUACAUAAUUAAAACUAAGAAUAUAGAAGCAACAAAUUUAGAUUUAGAAGAUUUUAAAAUAUAUAUAAAAGAACUCUUGGAAUUAGGAGUAAUUAGAAAAUCAAAUAGCCCUCAUAGAUCAGCAGCCUUUAUAGUUAGAAAACAUUCAGAAAUUAUUAGAGGAAAAAGUAGAAUGGUCAUUAAUUAUAAAAGAUUUAAUGAUAAUACUAUAGAUGAUGCUUAUAAUAUACCAGAUAAGACAGUUUUAAUAAAUAAAAUACAAGAUUGUAAAAUUUUUAGUAAAUUUGAUUUAAAGCCAGGAUUUUGACAAGUAAAAAUGCAUCCAGAAAGUAUUAAGUGGACAUCUUUUACCUGCCCAGAAGGACAUUUUGAAUGGCUCAUAAUGCCAUUUGAAAUUAAGAAUGCACCAAGUAUUUUUCAAAGAAAAAUGGAAAGUAUUUUUAAUAGACAUAGUAAGUUUGUAAUAGUAUACAUAGACGAUAUUUUAGUAUUUAGUAAAAAUAAACAAGAACAUAGAGGACAUUUACAAAUAGUAUUUUCAGAAUUUAUUAAACAUGGUCUAUUAAUUAGUAAAAAGAAAAUGAUUUUAUUUAAAGAAUUUAUAGAUUUUCUAGGAGUUAAUAUAGGAGAAGGAAAAAUUGAGUUAUAACCCCAUAUUGCUAAAAAAGCAUUAGAAUUUCCAGAUAAAUUAGAAGACCUAAAACAAAUCCAAAAAUUUUUAGGAUUAGUAAAUUAUGCUAGACCAUUUAUAAAAGAUCUGGGAAAAAUAGUAGGACCCUUAUAUGCUAAGACAUCUCCUACAGGAUAAAGAUUUUUUAAUCAAGAAGACAUAAAACUAGUGCAACAAAUAAAAGAAAAAAUAAAAACUUUACCAGAACUAGCUAUGCCACUAGAUUCAGAAUACUUAAUCAUAGAAACAGAUGGAAGUAUGAUAGGAUGGGGAGUUAUACUAAUAUGCAAACCCAAUAAAUAUACUGAUAAAAGUACAUAAAAAAUUUGUAGGUACAAUAGUGAAAAUUAUAAAGAGAAAGGAAACUUAAGUAGUAUAGAUGCAGAAUUAUUAGCUAUAAAUUAUGCAUUAGACAGUUUUGAACUAUUUAUUAUAUCUAAGAAAUAAAUAACUAUAAGAACAGACUGUAUAGCUAUAGUUUCCUUUGUCAAUAAAAUGAAAAUAGAUUCAAAAAGAAGUAGUAGAAGAAGGUGGUUAAAUUUUAUAGAUAGAAUUACAAAUACAAGAAUUAAUAUAGAAUUUGAGCAUAUUAAAGGUAGUGAUAAUAAAGCAGCAGAUAUACUAAGUAGAAUAAUAAUAGAUAGAAAUUAUUAAAUUUGCUUAACAUAAUUUUGUUAUACAAAUGAUAAGACCAAGGCCUAUAAGACCAGGAAUUCCACCUGGGAAUUCAUUUGCAUCAAGACUAUUACCACAGACUCCAUUUAAUCAGAACAGACCAAUGUUACAAGACAGAUUAAGGUUUGAAAACCAAGAACUUAUAGUGUUUCCCAAUAGUAAUAUUUCUUUUAAAAUUUUACCGCAUAUUUCUUUAUCUAGAGAAGAGAAAUGUAUUUUAGACAAUUUAUGGAUUUCUUAUAAUAAGAAUCCAAAAGACCAAAUAUAUUUUCUUGCAUGCAUGAAUGCAUUGUCAGAACACUUUUGUCAGAACAAGCAAAGGUUUAAAUUCUAUGUUGUUAUUAAAGGAAGAACUCCAGGAAUUUUCCAUUCUUGGAUAGAAGUUUUAGACUGUAUUAAAAAUUUUCCAGACCCUCUUUACAAAGGUUUUACAAAUUUUCAAGAAGCAUUAGAUGUUGCAAGACAACAGUUAGGAAUAAAUUUUUAUUUAUCUCCUUCUUUAAAGAACUACUCAGACCCUCCAUUAGACUUUUCUCCAAGUAAAGACCAGAAUAUUUUUUGUCAACACUGUGAGUGUAUGCAGAGAAACUACAAAGUUAUUAAUGAAGCCAACCAGAACCUUUCAAUAGAAAGAACCCAACUCCAAAAGAAAGUGGCCCAACUAGAAAAAGAGAUUUUGGAUUUAAAAGUCCAUUAUCCAACAGGUACUAUGGAGCCCAAGAAGUCCAUAGCUAGUCCAGCCCAAACGGUAGCUGGUAAAGACUUAUCAAAUCCGUUGAAGGUUGUGGACUUACCAAAAGCCCAACAGAUUCAGGGGACUGUUGAUUCCUCUACUAAAUUAGAUAAUCAGACUUAGCAGACUGAUAAAUCUACUACAGAAAAAGGUAAAUAAAUUUGGGAUCUUUUAGGAUAGCUCAGCAAAAAAUUUGAUUACUUAGUUAAAUACAGCCCACCAGAUCAUUUUUCACCAGAAUAUUUUUCAAAUAAUCCAGAAUUUUCACAAGCCCAAGAAAUUCAGUUCAGUAAGGGAAAAGAAAAAAUGGUAGCUCAAGAUAGCCAAGACUGUUUAUUCCUUCAAGAAUCACAAGAUCCUAAUCCAGAUACUGUUUCUUUAGAAAAGAUUUUUGAAAAAAUUGAAGAAUUUCAGAAGCAAUCCAAAAAAGACGAAAGAAUUUGAACAAUUAAUUAACAUGGGUAGUAAUCCAUAUAAUUUUGUUAGUAAAAUACAGAUAUUAAUAACAGGAGCAGACCCAAAUUCAGGACAUAUGAGUAUACAAAGAAAAGUUAUGAGAGAUUUAGAACAACUUAGCUUUUAUAUAUGGACUAAAGGAAGAUAUGUUAAGAACUUUUUAAAUGAAUAUCAUUAUUUAACUUCAAUAUUAGGAAAUACAUUUAAUCAAGAAAUUGGUAAAAAAUUGUUUCAUAAAUUACCAGGACCAUUAGGAUUAGAAAUCACAGAUAAAUGGAAUAAUUUACCAGCAGUAAAUAUGUAUGUAAUAGUAAUGAACAUUUAUCCAAGACUUGUCCAAAAAGAAUAAAUAAUUAUGAUAAGAAAAACACAUUAAUAGAAUGUACUAAUGAAGAUAUAAUACAAUUAGAUGAAUAUAUCUCAGAUAAAGAAUCUAUUUAUAGCAUUAUAUCAAUAGAAGAUAAAAAUUUAGAAGAAAAUAAAGAAUUUGAUUAUGAAAUAAUAGAUGAAUUCUAUAUAUAUAUAUAUUAAAAACUUUCAGUUAAAUAUAUUAGGGUACAUGUAUAAUGCUCAAAUAGCAAUUGCAGGCUAAUAACAUAGAUAUAUGUAUAUCAAUAGUUCAAAAGAAUUAGAGUAACAUAUAUCUUAUACAGAAAAAUAUCGAACCGAAUUUACAGAGGGAGAUUCAGAAAGAUCUUAUCAAUACUGCUUAAACAGUAUUAUUGAUAUAAUGCCUUAAAUCAAGCCAACAACUAGAGACUUCAAUUAAGCGACCUUCCAUCUCAAAAACAAAUAGAUCAAUGAAUGGUGUAUUGCCUAAAUUUAUCAUAGUUUAAAGACAAGAUACCAAAAAUAAGCUAUUUGUGUAGAUCGUUUCCGAUCUAUGUAGAUUCGAAGAACCGGUGUACCCUAAGGAGGUAUAUUCCGUAAGAGACACAAAACCCAUGGACCUUGAAUGCUCCGAUACUAGUUUUGUUGGGUAUUUGCGGUUGAUUUGUGUAUUGAAUCAAAGCACAAAACAUCACACACAAUAAAAACAAAAAGACAAACACAAGAUCACCAAGAAAUGUAGACCCAAUUCAACCAAUAGACCUAAUCUCAGGGGCUCAGGGAUAACCUAUUCCACUAGUGCAUAAUCUACCUUCCAAGAAAGCAAGAUUACAUAAAGAACCACUCGGACAAGGUUUUAGUCAUAGAUCAAACAGAUCCUGUAAAACUAGUAAACUGACCCAAAAUAAACCAACCAAAAAUAUAUGGAGUUAGUCUAUACAAGAACAACCACUCUCUCAGGCCUGAUCGUAUAUACAUGCUACAAGCUCCAUUUGGAUCAAUUGCAAAAACCUCAAAUACUAGAGAAGAAUUUUUUAGCGUAAAGACAAAAGAGAAAACCAAGGGAAGAGAGAAAAUCGAAACAUCUGGAAUGACCCAAAGUCUUUUGACCUAGACCACUAAAGAGACACUUUGGAUUCCAAGGUAAAAUCUCAGCCCUUGAUCGAAUCUAACGGCUCGGAAAGAGCUUUAACUAGCACAAUCCGUGUGCACACCAAAUGGCCAAUGUCUCUUGACCUAGACCACUAAAGAGACGCUUUGGAUUCCAAGGUAAAAUCUCAGCCCUUGGUCGUAUCUAACGGCUCAGAAAGAGCUUUAACUAGCACAAUCCGUGUGCACACCAAAUGGCCAACAGAUGGAUGCGACUUAAGCAGGGAUAUCUAACUAGGCAGCAAGGACAAAAUGACACAAAUAGCACUCUUUUUAAAGUGUUUUGAGAAACACGAUUUUUCACAAGUUGGAUGAAUUCUGAUUGUUGAAACCCAUAAAAAAUAGUAUAAUUAAGAGCACUGUAAAGAAAAUGGACGGUUCAAAAUAUUACCUUCCAAAGACCAGUUUCAAGUACAUACUUCUGUGCAAUUUCCUUUGCAGAAGACUUAUUCUUGAUUUGCUCCCUUUUUUCCUUCACAGCUCUGACCAUGAACCUGUUGAAACUGAACUUGGAACUCGAAAUUGAGGCAUCAAACCUACUUAAUUUUCCAUUAUCGAGCAAAAUUGAAGAAAAGAUAGGCUUAUUGUUCAAGUGUUGAGAAAAGAGUUGCAGAAAUGUGGCUAUUGUGUGUGAGGAGAGAGAGAGAAUUUGAUAUUUCGGAAGAGAUCUACUACAGGAACAGGAUGAAUGACAAGAUUUUAUACAGGUAUAUACUUGACAAAAUUUCGUUGGAAGUUAAAAUAAAAAGGAAAAAGAAAAUCUGACAAUCAAAAACUACUAUUUCAACACUUGAAAACGGCCCUUGUUAAUUUGCAAUUAACCCUAUGCAACUAGUUUAAUCCAUUUCGGAGCCAUGGAGGGGCUUGAAAAUAAAAUUCUCAGAUGGAAAGAGUGACAAAUAACUCGAUUCUACCCUUUUGCUUUCCAAGGCACAAUUUACAUUUAUCUUAAAACCCUCAAAAUUUUGUUAUUCUUAGAAAAUCACCGUAAACAUCUUUAUUAGGGAAUUUGGCGCAAAUGUUCCCAACUUCACCUUUAGUGUGCAAAUGGUCCCUAACAUUUAUUUCAUGGCUUGAACAUCUCUAUCUCAAACUAAUGUCUCGGUUCGCAAUUGAUCAUAUUUUAAUAAGAAAAAGAUCAAUAUGUCCUUUAUUUAAAUUAGGAAAAAUAAAAUUUGUAGCUAGGUCCCUAGCCAUUGGAAAAAAUUACAAAGCCCCAAAUCUUUUAUUUAAUAAUAUUGAUUUUUAACAUACUAAAUAUAUAAUUAUAGUUGUCCCAAUUAAAUUUUCCAAAAAGAAAGAAAAAGUUAAAUUAUAUGUCAUGAAAAACUUGAAUAAAAUUAAGAUAAAUGAAAAACAAAAUGACUUAGAUAAUUUUAGGACAUUCAACCAAUAUCAUUGAUAAUUAUAUAUGAACCAAUACUAGUCAAAUAACAUUCAACUCAUAAGUCAAGUAUAUUUUUUUCAAAGCUUGGUGUUUGAUCAGUGUAAAUACGACACUUAUCUCGACUUUUUACGAGGCUUUUAUUAGUGUUUCGAAUUCAAUUCUAUUGAUUUUUUUUCCUAUAAAAUGAACCCCAAACUUUUCAUGACAUCGUUAGUGAAAUUGAUAAAAGAGAUUAAAAAGCAAGUUCACAUGAAACUGGAACAAAAAGGAAAAGGGGAAAAGAAAGAUAAAUCAACUGGAACUGAAUACGCGAAAAUACUUGGAGAAAUUAGAGUACCAAGCUCAGUUAGGAGUCCAACACAUUCAAAAUUAUGUACCACAAAUCAUUUUCAUUUUCGUCUAGACUGCCACACUAGGCACACUCUUGCACUUCAGUUCCCUAUUUUCAACCCCAAAAAUAUCUAUGAUGGAAGCCUUAGGGUCUUUUAGGUCAUUUGAUACAUGGUUUUGCGCCUUAAUUUUCAGUUUGAAUAUACUAUAAUCCAUCUACUUCAUAAGGGAGCUUGUAGGAGACACAAAUUCAGACCUAGGGUUCGGUGAAUUGAAGAACAAGGAUUGGGGAUUUUGAAGUUCUGGCUCAACGAUUCUAUUUGGUUAUGUCAAGCUAAACUCUUAUUUGUUUGAUUACUUUGAAUAUGUAGCUAAAUUUUCAUUUGCUAGGAUGGUGAUGUAAAUCACUCUUGUGAAAAUUUAAUCUAAUUUUUCAUUUUGAACUUCAAAUGUGAAUAGUGAUUGAUUACUUGUUAUUGAUUUUAUUACAUUCAAUUAUUUAGCCACCAGUUGAACUAUUUAUGGACUGUAUUGAUAUCGAGGGGUGAUAUUCAUGUUUAAAUCAAAUAUUUAACAAGUGCACGAUUACUAAAAAAAUAAAACGUAACAUAAAUCUGGAGAGCAAAAAUAGAUUUUAACUUUAUUUGAGAGAAACAGUUAAAUAAUUUAGGGAUAUUGUCUUCAACAUAAACAAGUAUUAUCAAUUAUGUGAUUGGUUGAAUUAAAGUAGAUAAGUAUACAGGUAAAAUCAAAGUUAUAUUUGAAACUUCUUCAAAGUUCAUAAAGUAUUUUUAGCUUAACUUUAAGUAAUUUUUUUAGUUAAAAUCAAAAUUCAAUUAAAACUUGGUAUAAAACUAUUUAGUUUGAUAUAUAACUAAAUAUAAGUUUUAAUGGAAUCAACACUCUAUUUGCUCUUGAUUACUUGUCCACAAUACCGUGCACUUACAAUUUUUAAGUGACAAAUGACAAAUGUGUCACAUAUUACUAAACUAAAAGACAGUUGAGAAUCGAGAAUUUUAAAUUACUAAGAAUUUUUCAAGGACAAUACAACUAAAAGACCAUUGCAAGAUGUCCUUUUUAGUAAAUGAGCACUUCUUGUGAAAAUUAGCAAAAUGAGUACUUUUAAAUGAAACUACUGAAAAUACCCCUAAUGUUAUAUUUUUAUUUUUAUUUUCAUAAAAUUCAACCAUUACUUGAUAGGUGCACAACUUUUGAGGCAAAUCUUGAAAGUCGGCAAAAAAAGUUUCAUUCUAGGAGAUCUUUUGGUAGCAAGCUGAUAAUUCGACUAAUUAAGAUAGUUAAAACUAUUUUCCAUUUUUUGAGUUGGUUAGAGUUGUUUUCUAAGAUAGUUGGAAUUAGGCCUGUGCAAUUUAACAGGAAUCGAAUCUUUCGAAUCGAAUUUGAAGGUUCCGAUUUGAUUCUCAAAAAAAAAAAAUUUGGAACCAAAAUCGAGAAUCAAUAAUCAACUAGAUUCUGUUCGAUUCUUGGCUCUUGAACUAGAACCGUGGGUACGUAAAUGGAACUGAUUUUUAUAUAAUUUUUUGUUUAUAAUUUAUAGGCUAGAUAGAAAAAUACAAAACAUAAAAACCCUAAUUUGAAUAUUAAUUAGUUUAAAACUCUAGACUAACAAAUCUAGACUGGCUCCUAAUUUUUUGCCUAUUGCCUCAUAUCAAAUUGUUGUAUGUCACAGGUUAGUACAUAUUUAUCUUUACAAUUUGGAUUUUUUAUGAGUCAAAAAAUUCAAGUUAAAUUGUGGUGUAAGUUGAUAAAUCAAAGCGUUCAUCCUCUGGGUUUACUUGUAAAAUUAUUUUAUGGAAAAAUGUGCGAUUGAAAAUGAGUAUUGAAAAAUGAGUUUUUGAAAAAAUUGAGCCAAAUUGGUUUAUCUUAAGUUCAUGGUUCUCUUUUGAAAUAUAUAUUAUUUUUUUCUUUUCUAUUCAAAAAGGGUGAGUUCAAUAUGCCAACUGUAAUUUCUUAACAUUAUAUAUGUAUUUAAUUAGUAUUUUUUUGUCAAUUCAUUUUAAAAGUAGAAGAAUUUAAGCAUUGUUCAUAAUUAAAUUAUAGGUUUUAGCAUGCCCCACUUAUGGAUUGAAUAAGAUUUAUGCAUUGUUUGAUUCCCAUUUUUUUAAAAUACAUUUUUCUUUCUCGUCUUUUCAACUACACAUUAUUCAUUAAAAUGAUAUUACACAUAAGUUAUUUCUUAUUUUUCAACCACAUAUUUUCCAUUGAAUUGACUAUUCUAAAAUUUAUUUUUUCAUAAACAUGGGGCUCCAUCACCCUCUUAUUAAGAAAAGUACUUUUUUCUCAAAUUGUAAUUUAAUUUUUGAUGCUUUAAUUUUCUUCUCUUUUCAUAGUUUUUAGUUUUCACUAUUUUGCUUCUUGAAGAUUUAUUAGCUGAAUUUUCUCAAUGCACAAAUACUUUCGAACAGUAUCGUGUAAUGUAUAAGUACUGAAAGGGACUAUAUGAAAAUGCCUAUAUAUAUAUAUAUAUAUAUAUAUAUAUAUAUAUAUAUCAUGGGUUUGAGUUUGGUUCUAUGAAUUACAAUUACCCGAAUUGUUCUAUUUACGAAAUACCCGAAGUAUAAUAGGUGAUUCUAGGUUAAAAUAUCCAGAUCGAUCCACCCGAAACCAAAGCCUUGUUAGAAUUGUCUAGUAUUCCAAUAAUUGUCUCGAAAAUGAGUAUUCUCUUGAAAAAUUUUCAUAAAAGGUAAGUCAUUUAUAUAUAUAUAAAUGUGUGUGUGUGUGUGUGUCUCCUAGACAUAAUUCAUUACUUCUAUUAGGAACAUGGAUAACAUAGAAAAGGUCAAGCCUUCUUUUAGAACAGCUCUAGUCAAAUGUUAUAUAUGCCCUUUUUGUAUGACAUCACGACACUCUACUGAAAAACAGGGGAAAAGGAAUAAAAUCACUUAGCCAAGCUUAAAAAUAGGAGAGUGAAGAGACAGGCUGAUGUAUUAGAAAAUGAUUGGGUGUUUUUGUUUUAAUUUUUCAAAUUAUUCAAUCAUGCGUCGACACAUGUUCCAUUUGGAUUUGAGACUGAAUGUGCAACAUUAUUGGGGAAAAAAGGGUAUUGUUGUAACAAUUUUGAGACUAAGUAAUUAAAUCCAUGAAGAACAUGAGCUAGGAAGCACCUUCAAGUUCUUGAGUGCAAAGAAGAGAGUGAGUUAUAAGUGACGAGGUUUUUUUUACUCAAAAUACAACAGUGCCUUAUACAUUCAGAAAAUUGAACUAAAUAUCAACAAACAUCAUUUGAGUUCACUGUGAUUCGGUGAAAAACGAAAAUAGGCGAGCUUUAGAAGAGAAACCGCAUUCCCUUAGCCCAUGUCAUCUAGAACAACUAGUCCAAACAAAGAAGAACAAGAUCGAGUUAUAAACUUUGUGAUAGAACUUCUCCAAUGUAUUUCAUAUGAUUGAAUAUGAAAAUUGCUUUAUUAUAUUUCAAUGUAUCAUCAUUUGCUAUAUCUUAAUUUGGUAGAUUUUCACUCUUACAAUUGAUUCGUCACUCAUCACCACGCGAUUGCAUUUUCGAUUGUCUAGAAAGUAAUAAUAUUAUUCGUAUAGAAAUUUGCAAGCUUACUUUUUCUAAAUAAUGGAGACAAUAAGAAAAAAACGACAAUGAAAAGCUAGAAGCCACAAAGAGGUCGAAAUGCCAUAUUCGCCACUUAAUGAUCAAUGAUUUCGAAGGAACUAGAUCUACCUGUUUUUUAUUUCCAUUCAACAGCUUUUAAGUCGCCAAUCCAUAUGUAUUAAUGAUAAUACCCAAACAACUACCAUUCAAUAGAGGUGAAUAUGAAUAUCAGAAAAUACGGUUGACUUUCUUCCAUUGCCUUGUAAUAAAAUAAUGUUUAUUUAAGGAUAAGAGAAAUUAAACAUGAGAACUCAACAGCGAAAAAAAUAAAUAUCCACAAAACACGUCUAGGAAAUAUUUGCUUGGAGAUUAUUCAAACAUGGAAAACUUGGAAUUCGCAAUUGUGAUCCCCCCAUCAACAAAAAGGUUGUGUCCAUGAACGCACUUCGACUCAUCGCUAGCCAAGAACAGAACAGCGUCAGCCACAUCCUCUGGCUUAAGUGAAACACCUUUGAGGAUAGAAUAUACAUUUCCGAAUCCCUCAUCAUCCAUUUUGUAGAAAUCCUUCGACUGCUGUGUGGGAACUACGUGUGGUGACACACAGUUUACGCGAAUGCCAUGUUUUCCAAGCUCCACAGCCAAAUUCUUCGUCAGUCCCACCACUUUUACUGUAUAAUAUAAUAAAAUAUAUAUAUCAAGCAAAGAUAAAAAAAACAUCGUUUUUGCUCCACCACUUAAAAAAAAAAAAAAAAAUCUAGUGCAGUGAGACAAAAUGGCACAAGUCAUUGUUGAUUUCUACAAUAACUUCACAUUCUUUUUUUUAUAUAGUAGGGAUAUGCCUCCUAGACAUAAUACGUUACUUCUAUUAGGAACAUGGAUAACAUAGAAAAGGUCAAGCCAUCUUUUCAAAUGUUAUAUAUGUCCUUUUUGCACGACAUCACGACAUUGUGCCGAAAAUCAAGGGAAAAGGAAUAAAAUCACUUAGCCAAGCUUAAAAAUAGGGGAGUAAAGAGACAAAUUGAUGUAUUAGAAAAUGAUUUGAUGUUUUUGUUUAAUUUUUCAAACUGUUCAAUCAUGCGUCGACACAUAUCCCAUCUAAAUUUGAGCCUGGAUGUGUAACAUUAUCGGGGAAAAAGGGUAUUGUUUUAAUAAUUUUGAGACUAAGUAAUUAAAUCCAUGAAGAACAUGAGCUAGGCAGCACCUUCAAGUUCUUGAGUGCAAAGAAGAAAGUGAGUUAUAAGUGACGAGGUUUUUUUUAUCCAAACUACAACAGUGCCUUAUACAUUCAGAAAAUUGAACUAAAUAUCAGCAAACAUCAUUUGAGUUCGCUGUGAUUCGGUGAAAAACGAAAAUAGGCGAGCUUUAGAUGAAAAACGGCAUUCCCUUAGCCCAUGUCAUCUGGAACAACUAGUCCAAACAAAGAAGAACAAGAUCGAGUUAUAAACUUUGUGAUAGAACUUCUCCAAUGUAUUUCAUAUGAUUGAAUAUGCAAAUUGCUUUAUUAUAUUCCAAUGUAUCGUCAUUUGAUAUAUCUUAAUUUUCACUCUUACAAUUGAUUCGUCACUCAUCACCACGCAAUUGCAUUUUCGAUUGUCUAGACAGUAAUAAUAUUAUUCGUAUAGAAAUUUGCAAGCUUACUUUUUCUAAAUAAUGGAGAAAAUAAGAAAAAGACGACAAUGAAAAGCUAGAAGCCACAAAGAGGUCGACAUGCCAUAUUCGCCACUUAAUGAUCAAUGAUUUCGAAGGAACUAGAUCUACCUGUUUUUUAUUUCCAUUCAACAGCUUUUAAGUCGCCAAUCCAUAUGUAUUAAUGAUAAUACCCAAACAACUACCAUUCAAUAGAGGUGAAUAUGAAUAUCAGAAAAUACAGUUGACUUUCUUCCAUUACCUUGUAAUAAAAUAAAGUUUAUUUAAGGAUAAGAGAAAUUAAACAUGAGAACUCAACAGCGAAAAAAAUAAAUAUCCACAAAACACGUCUAGGAAAUAUUUGCUUGGAGAUUAUUCAAACAUGGAAAACUUGGAAUUCGCAAUUGUGAUCCCCCCAUCAACAAAAAGGUUGUGUCCAUGAACACACUUCGACUCAUCGCUAGCCAAGAACAGAACAGCGUCAGCCACAUCCUCUGGCUUAAGUGAAACACCUUUGAGGAUAGAAUAUACAUUUCCGAAUUCCUCAUCAUCCAUUUUGUAGAAAUCCUUCGACUGUUGUGUAGGAACUACGUGUGGUGACACACAGUUUACGCGAAUGCCAUGUUUUCCAAGCUCCACAGCCAAAUUCUUCGUCAGUCCCACCACCCCAUGUUUUGAACUUACGUAAUUGUGUGAAGAACCACCGCCUAUUUUCGAGCAAGUACUCGCUGUUGUGAUUAUGUUCCCACUGCGAUUCGGGAUCAUUACUCGAGCAGCGUGUUUAGCACACAAGAACGGACCUACGAGGUUUACAUUAAUAAUCUUUUCGAACUCUGAUUUUUCGAUUUCAAGAAUGCUUGGAUUUGGUAUCCCCCCAAUACCAGCAUUAUUAUGCAGAAUGUCUAAUUUCCCAAAUUUGGCAACAGCUGUGUCAAUUGCAGUUUCUACAUCGGAUUCCUUAGUCACAUCACAGUGGACAAAAAUGGCUGAUGAUUUUCCCAGUUCCUUGCAUAAUUUCUCUCCCAAUUCAUCAUUGAUGUCUGCAACCAGAACUUUAGCACCAUGUUUGACGAACAGUCUGGCAGUCGCCUCGCCGAUUCCAGUAGCAGCACCGGUGAUUAAUGCUACCUUCCCUUCCAGCCUAGGUUCAUACAUUUUGUUAGUACANNNNNNNNNNNNNNNUGACUUUUGGAUAAUUGUUCUCUCUGUCCUCGUCAUAUCCAUUGCAACUAGGCAUUUAUUUAUUCCUAACUAAUCUGAUUUUUCAGACUUCCCACGUCAUUUCCAAAUCACGUAGGCAUUUAUCUCUGACUAAUCUUAUUUUUCAGAUAAUUGUCAUCUAUCUCCACGUCAUUUCCAACGCAAGAUCUGAUUUUACAGAUAAUUAAUGUCUGUUUCCAAGUCAUUUCCAACGUAAUUGUGUCCAAAAUAAUUGAAUUAUGGCAAUACUUCAAAGAAUGAUAGCACCCUGAUUGACUUUAUUUUGUUUGGUCUAAAUAUUUAAAUAUUGUAGAAGAUUAAAAGACAUUAAGGGGAAAAAUACGUAAAUAUAAUACUUUGAAGGACAAUGCUACAUUUACAUACACAUUUUUACCAAAUCUUUUAUCUACACUCACAAUAGGAGGACGGGUCCCAUAAGCCGGAAUUUUUAAAUGUACGUGGGUCCCGCGCGCAUGUGAGUGUAGGGCACCAAUUCGGUAACCCAUUUUCGGUACAUAUAUAUUUAUCCUACUUUAAGUAUACAUUUUCACACUUAACAAACUCAUAGAAUUUUUUUAUAAAUGAGGUGCUAAAUAAUAAUAUUAUAUACAGUAUUCUAACUGAAAUUUAGAUAAACUAUAGUUUAAAUUAGAAUAAUUUGAUAAACAUUAUCACAUCGUAAUAUGUAGCGUAUAUUCCUCCGUCCUAUUUAUGUAGGCUAACUUCCUUUAUUUUCUUGUCCCAGUAAUAUAGUCUUUUUUUUUUUAAUGAAAAUGUUUUUUCUUUUUCAAUAAUAUUAAAUAAAAUUAUUUAAUCCAUGCGAAAAAAUAAAACCAAUCUAUAUAAAUAGAACAGAUGAAGUAUAUCGUUAAUAUAACAGAUCCUCUCACCUCGCAUUCUCUCUCUCCUCGCAUUUUCUCCUUCUUACAACGAAUAACUCGUGACUCACCAAAAAAAUCUUUUACGCAUAACACUUUUUCAUUCUCUAUGUUAUUUCACGCUUUUUUGAAUAAAUGUUAUUUGUACAUAAUGGAGUUAAAUAAUGAUUUACAUAUAGAUAAUGUGUAAAUAAGAGAGUGGAGAAUUUUUUUUUCGAUUAUGUUAUAUGUACAUAAUAAUUUAUAUAAACAUGAUACAAGAAACGAUUGGAUCAGAUAUUAUUUAACACCACACAUGAAAAUAUAAGUUUAAGAUCUGAUUUUUGAAAGGUAUAGAUAAAAUGUAGGGAUUUGCUUAAUUUUCCAGAAAAAUAUUCGUACAAGUCAAGUCAAGUUAUUAUAAUUCAAAAUAAUAUAUUUAAAAAAUAUUAAAUUUAAGUUUUAAGAUAAUUAGCAUAAGAUAAUAAUUGUUAUAUUACAAACGAUUAGGUUUAUCUACAUUAUGUGAUUAAUCAUAUCUUAAUUGUACUAUGUUGGUUAACCAAUUCUGUUUUCUUGGCCUUCCACCCCCUUUUCUUUUCGUUCCUUGGAUGUAGUUCCAGUUUAUACUCUUUUUGCUCAUUCAUGAGUCGUAUUUAAUACCUCUAAAAAUUAAGUCUAAUGGUGUUGUGCUAGGCAAAGCUAAAAGAUCCACGAAUCGUUAACUUCUUUUCCUAGAAAAGAAGCGACGACAAUGAAUGGAAAAUAAGCAUCGGCUAUUGGACUAUUCAUAGCACAGUCCAUACAGCAAUUCAUGACUCGUGGCAACUGAUGAGGUUUAUGUGGAGGAACAGGCAUUGGCAUACAUGGAACGGUUGGAUAGUCGGCUUUCAAAGAAAUUGAUGUAACUUUUGCGUUUGGUGUCCGUUUUGGCCCCAUAACCUCAUUUCGGAAAGGUAGCGAGCGUUUCGGAUUGAACUCACAAUUUCGCCGUGACGUACGAGGGUUUUUGGGCAUUUGAAGUCGUUUAGUGUGUCAAAACAGCAUUUUAAGUUUUUGUGUUAUUUAUUUUCAGCAUUUGUUAUUUCCAUUUUAUAGCUCAGCCCAUUUUGGGACUGCUGGCCCAGUAGGUUAUCUUUUCUUUCAUAUUUAAGACGCUGCAAGACGUCUCCUAGGUUUUUCUUGGUUGUUCACGAAAUAAUAAAAGUUUGUUUCUGAAUUCAAUCCGUUUGGUUAUUGUUGUCGUGUGUUUGUAGAUUCAAUCUACAUCAUUUUGGUAUUAGAGCAUGGUGCGUGGGAGAGGACGUGGUGGUCGUGGUGGCCAGAUUGAUGAAGUUGCAGAUCUGCGUAAUCAAGUUGAGGCGUUGACAAUCCGAUUUGAUCAAUUCAUGACGUGGGCGGUAGAGGUUGUGCAGAACGGAACACCUCCUGCUCCUCCACGUCGUGCCCUAGUGAGUGAUGGUGGAGGUGGAUCUGAAUCAGGGGAGAGGUCGGAUGAGGAGAUCUUGUCAGAGGCACGUGGCGAUCGUGUUCAACAGCCUCGUGUGCAACAGCAGGACGAGUUUCUGCGAUGGGAAUCCGGAUUCAAGGUUGAUAUACCUGAAUUUCACGGUGGAAUUGAGGCCAAUGAAUUCCUCGAUUGGCUGGCGGCAGUAGAGGAGAUCUUGGAUUACAAAGAAGUGCCCGACAAUAAAAGGGUACCUUUGGUGGCGACCCGUCUGCGUGGUCGUGCUGCUGCGUGGUGGCAGCAACUGAAGCAAAACCGGAUACGUCAGGGUAAGGCGAAAAUCCAGUCGUCGAAAAAAAUGAAGAAACAAUUGAAGGCAGUGUUUCUUCCCUUUAAUUAUUCCAGGACUUUGUAUCAGCGUUUACAGAAUUUGAGACAAGGCAAUCGAUCUUUAGAUGCUUAUUCCACAGAGUUUUACCAACUGAUAGCGCGAAAUGAUUUGGGAGAAUCAGAAGACCAGUUGGUAGCGCGCUAUAUUGGUGGACUACAAUUGAAUUUGCAAGACGUCCUAAAUAUGUUCUCGCCGGUAUCUGUUUCUGAGGCUCACCAGCGAGCACUUCAGGCUGAAAAUCAACAACAACGUCGUUCUGUAAUAGGCAUUUCUGGUGGUCCAUCUGGAGGUGGGGGUCGACAAUUCGCCCCAAAUCCCACAUCUGGUCCGUCCCAAUCCUUUACAUCUGGGGGUCCGGGCGUUGAUCGGAACACUCGGCCAGUGGUUCCUCCAAUCGUUAAUCCGGGUGGUUGGGCUCCUCCUGGUGGACGAGGGCGUGGAAGUCAGUGUUUUGGUUGUGGUGGUUUUGGUCAUUUGAAGAAGGACUAUCCAUCUCAUGGGCAGCCACGCCCAGGUUUGUUCAUUGGAGGGACAACACAAGUUGAUAUUAACGAUCCUGUUCAUGUGGAGAAUGAAGAAGAAGAGGCUGAAAUUGUGCAUACAGGUGACACGGGGCCUCUUUUGGUGGUUCGACGGGCGUGCCUUACGCCUAAGGGGUCGUCUGAGGACCUGCAGCGAAACAAUAUCUUUCUGUCUACGUGUACCAUUGGAGGAAAGAUGUGUAGGUUCAUCAUUGAUUCGGGCAGUUGCGAAAAUGUGAUAUCUGAAGCGGCCGUGCAGAAGCUGUUGUUAAGCACCGAACCUCAUCCUGCUCCCUAUAGCCUAGCAUGGUUGAGACAAGGUAAUGACAUUCGUGUUACUAGCUAUGUGUUGGUAUCUUUUUCUAUUGGCAGUGUGUAUCAUGAUAGUGUUUGGUGUGAUGUGGUGCCGAUGGAUGCGUGUCAUUUGUUGUUGGGUCGUCCAUGGCAGUUUGAUAGGGAUGUGUGCCAUGAAGGGCGUCGAAAUGCAUAUACAUUCACCUUUUCGAGUAAAAAGAUUGUACUACUACCCCCCAAAGAUACGCAGUGUCUGUCUUCGACAGGGGACAGUAGUAAUCUACUUUUCCGAUCUUUGUUUGUGCAUGAGAUGCUGGCAGAAGGUGUUGUACUGUUUUUAGUGGGAACUGAGGCGACAGGAGUGUCGACAGUUCCUAUGGCAGUCGAGGGGAUGGGUCUUCACCCCAAAGCUGCUGCCUUGGUGUCUGAGUUUCAUGAUGUGUUUCCGGAUGACCUUCCACAGGGUCUUCCACCGUUGCGGGAUAUGCAACAUCACAUUGAUUUGGUACCGGGUGUGUCAUUGCCUAAUCGCCCACAUUAUCGAAUGAGCCCAGUGGAACAUGAGGAGUUGAGGAGACAAGUAGAGGAGUUGGUGCAGAAGGGGUACAUCUGAGAGAGCCUCAGCUCGUGUCUAGUCCCCGCACUCCUAGUGCCUAAAAAAGAUGGGAGUUAUCAGAUGUAUAUAGAUAGCAGGGCCAUCAACAAAAAAACAGUUCGUUAUCGCUUUUCGAUACCGAGGUUAGAUGACUUGCUUGAUCAGUUGGCCGGUGCAACUGUGUUUACCAAACUGGACUUGAAAAGUGGUUACCAUCAAAUAAGAGUCUGUCCUGGUGAUGAGUGGAAGACGGCAUUUAAGACAUGGGAGGGAUUAUUUGAGUGGCUAGUUAUGCCGUUUGGACUAUCCAAUGCACCAAGCACGUUCAUGCGGGUGAUGAACCAAGCACUUCGACCAUUUAUUGGUAAGUGCGUUGUUGUAUACUUCGAUGACAUAUUGGUGUACAGUGGGUCGGAGGAGUCUCAUGGUGUGCAUCUAAGGAAAGUCCUUACUGUUUUACUCAAGGAGAAGUUCUUUGCAGCCACUAAGAAGUGCGUGUUCUAUACCGAUAGUGUUUUGUUUUUGGGGUAUGUUGUGUCAGCCGGUGGGGUAACGGUGGAUGCAGCUUAAGGUUGAUGCGAUUCGGCAGUGACCGCGUCUACAGUCAGUUUCUGAUGUGCGGAGUUUCCAGGGUUUAGCGUCGUUUUAUUGACGAUUUAUUCAGCACCAUCAUGUCUCCCAUUGCUGAUUGCAUGAAGGAGAGUAAGUUUCAGUGGACACCUGAGGCUGAGAAAGCGUUUUUGAUCAUUAAGGAGCGUCUGACUUCAGCCCCGAUACUUGCGUUGCCUGAUUUCACAAAACCUUUUGCAUUACAUUGUAAUGCCUCUAAAUUGGGUAUCGGAGCUGUCCUCGGUCAGGAAGGAAAACCAGUAGCUUAUUUCAGUCAGAAGUUGGUAGGGGCUCGUGGGAGGUAUAGCACUUACGACGCAGAGCUUUAUGCUGUUGUUCAGGCCAUUCGCCAUUGGCGACAUUAUCUGUUUCAGCGAGAAUUUGUCUUAUACAGUGAUCAUGAAGCCCUCAAGCAUUUGUCAAGCCAGGAGUCUGUAUCUGCCCGUCAUGCAUCAUGGGUUGCCUUUUUGCAGCAGUUCAACUUUAUCAUUAAACAUCAGGCUGGUUCUUCUAAUCGUGUGGUAGAUGCGCUCAGUCGGCGGCAUGGGUUAUUAGCGCGGCUACAGGUAGCGGUCACCGGGUUUGAGACGUUUGUCUCUCUUUAUGCUGAUGACCCUUAUUUUGGCCCCAUCUAUCACAGUUUACUGCAGGGACCCCAUUCUUCUUUUCUGUUAGAGGAUGGGUAUGUGUUUAGAGGUGUUCAGUUGUGUAUACCAGAUUGCAGCUUUCGUCUGAAAUUGAUUGAGGAGUUUCAUGGUGAAAGUCAUAUUGGGCGAGAUCGUACUUUGGCUUUGAUUAGCACUUCAUUUUUCUGGCCUACUAUGAAUCGUGAAGUGGAGAAGUUUGUCUCACGAUGUAGGGUGUGCCACGUGGAAAAGGGGAAAGCCACAAACGCUGGUCUUUAUCGACCCUUACCAGUGCCUUCAGCUUCAUGGACUGAUAUUAGCAUGGAUUACCGCGCACACAACGUGGUAAUGAUUCCAUCUUUGUGGUGGUAGAUCGUUUUUCUAAAAUGGUGCACUUCAUUCACUGCAAGCGCACCACUGAUGUUGUCAAGGUUUCUCAGCUGUUGUUCAGAGAGAUUUAUCGGUUGCAUGGGUUGCCCACUUCCAUCGUGUCUGACAGAGACACGAGGUUCAUCGGUCACUUUUGGCGGAGUUCAUGGAAGUCAGUUAACACGUCGCUCAAUUUUAGUAGUGCUUAUCACCCUCAAACUGAUAGGCAAACAGAGGUAGUUAAUCGUUCUUUGAGUGACUUGUUGCGAUGCUUGGUUGGGGAUAAUCUACGCUCAUGGGAUCAGCGGCUUAGCGAGGCAGAGUUUGCGUAUAAUCAUGCUAGAAAUAGAAGCACCGAUUUCAGUCCGUUCUAGGUUGUGUAUAGUAUUCUGCCCCGCAGCCCUGUUGAUUUAUUGACUCUACCCUCUAAAACUCGGCUGCAUGGGACAACUGUUGACUUUGUUCAUAGUUUGCAACAAGUUCACGAGGAAACAUGAGCUAAUCUGCUAGAGUCCAACCGUAAGUAUAAAGAGGCGGCUGAUCGGCAUUGACGUCCUGUUGAGUUUGACGUUGGAGAUUAUGUUUGGGCGGUACUGACUAAGGAUCUAGUGCCAUCUCAUGAGCAUUCGAAGUUAUCACCUCGUACCAUUGGUCCAGUGGAAAUUGUGGAGAAGAUCAACCCCAACGCCUAUCGCCUUUGACUUCCUUCCCAUAUACGGACUUCUGAUGUGUUUAAUGUAAAGCAUCUUUUGCCAUACCAUGGAGACAACGUGGGAGAUAGUGCUACCGGUUCUAAUUCGAGGGCGAAUCCCAUUGAUCCCGGAGAGAAUGAUGAGGUUUAUAUGGAGGAACAUGCAUUGGCAUACAUGGAAUUGUUGGAUGGUCGGCUUUCAAAGAAAUUGAUGUAACUUUUGCGUUUGGUGUCCGUUUUGGCCCCAUAACCCCAUUUCGGAAAGGUAGCGAGCGUUUCGGAUUGAACUCACCACUUUGCCCUGACGUACGAGGGUUUUUGGGCAUUUGAAGUCGUUUAGUGUGUCAAAACAGCAUUUUAAGUUUUUGUGUUAUUUAUUUUCAGCAUUUGUUAUUUCCAUUUUGUAGCCCAGUCCAUUUUGGGACUGCUGGCCCAGUAGGUUAUCUUUUCUUUCAUAUUUAAGACGCGGCAAGACGCCUCCUAGGGUUUUCUUGGUUGUUCACGAAAUAAUAAAAGUUUGUUUCUGAAUUCAAUCCGUUUGGUUAUUGAUGUCGUGUGUUUGUAGAUUCAAUCUACAUUAGCAACUUAUCAAGAAAAUGAAUACAAGAUUGAUGUUUACAAGCUGUUUUAGCAACAAAAAUUGUGAUAUUACACGACCAAGUAAUUCAAAAAAUUUUACAUUAUCAACUUUCUUUCCAAUCCAAUUAGCAACAAUAAGCGUUCCAUCACCCUCUUAUUAAGAAAAGUAAUUUUUUCUCAAAUUGCAAUUUAAUUUUUGAUGCUUUAAUUUUCUUCUCUUUUCGUAGUUUAGUUUUCACUAUUUUGCUUCUUGAAGAUUUAUUAGCAGAAUUUUCUCAAUGCACAAAUACUUUCGAGUGUAUCGUGUUAUGUAUAAGUACUGAAAGGGACUAUAUGAAAAUGCCUAUUAAAUAUAUAAAAAGAAAAAUUGUUAUGGGCAAAAUUGAACCCAAAUCAAAAUCGACAGUUCGGGUUUGGGUUUGGUUCUAUUAAUUACAAUUACCCGAAUUGUUCUAUUUACGAAAUACCCGAAGUAUAAUAGGUGGUUCUAGGUUAAAAUAUGCGGAUCAAUCCACCUGAAACCAAAGCCUUGUUAGAAUUGUUUAGUAUUCCAAUAAUUGUCUCAAAAAAUGAGUAUUUUCUUGAAAAAAUUUCAUAAAAGGUAAGUCAUUUUCAAGUGAAUAUAAUAAGCUGAUAGACAAAUCAAUGAAGAAAAUUACAUUUUAUUCUAAUGUCUGUUUAGUAUUCAAGAAAAUCAUAAAUAUAAUAAUAUCUAAGUGCUACGUGGCCAAAGUGAGAGACAAGUGUUUAUGAGGGUUUAUGUCUCAAAAAACGCAAAUCACCUCCAAAACAAUACUCAAAAACAACACGAGAAAUGAGAGGCUUCAAAUUCUGCAUAAAUGUAGGCAAAUAGAGUUUUGCUACAUGUACAACUAUUUUGAUGAUCCAUUAUACAAGUAUUCUAACUCCAACAAGAAAUGGAUAGUCUGAAAGUCUCAAGAUUUUUCUAUCAAUUUCAAAGGGCUGCAAAUAUAUCCCCCAAGACUAAAUCUUGAAGGGCCCAAAAUGAAGACUCCAAAGGAUCAAGAAAUCUCACCGUCUCCAUGUCCCAAAGGUUUAAAAACUAAAGCUACGAGAUCAAAUUUCUGUUGGGCCUGCUGACCCCACAUGGAGGUUCGCCAGUGUAGCAAACAAUUUUUUUUUUUAAUAUAUACUAGUCGUUGACACGUGCGCUGCACGAAUUUUGUAUUUAUUAUGUUUUUAUUAGUGUAGAAAUUGUAUAUGUUAAAAAAAACAGUUGUUGAAGAUUUAUUGCAUUGUUUAAAAGUCUUGAGAGUAUUUUAUUGCCUCACUAAUGCCCUAUCCAACAAGGUGAUCAUUUCAAAAGCUAAUAUUACUGCACAAAGAAAAUCACAAAAAAUAAAAUUAAAUUAAAGACAUCGUGUGUAUGUAGAACAUGACACUACAUGAUAACAGAAACAUUUGACAUACAUAAAGAUUGCAAGUUUAUAGGAGUAAUAAAUAUUUGAUCCAUUAAAUAAUAAAGCAUGCAUCGAAAAGUGAAAAUGGAUUGCAAAUAAGUUGUAAAAGGAUACAAUGCAGUAUUUAAAAAAAAAAUGGAAAACCAAUAAGCAAAUAUGCUGAGUUGGAAUGGAUAAUUCUUGCACUGUCAUUUCCGCUUCUUCUCUUGGUAGUUUAUAUACAUCGGGAUUUGAAUAUACAAUAAGUAUUGGAACAAUUGCAUUAAAUCAAAUCAGUUAUUAGAACAAAGGAUUAAGAGAGGAAAUAUAAGUAAAGCACCUACCUAACCUACCAAAAAAAUGCAAAACAUAUCCAGAUAGUUCUUUCUAGAUGGCAAAAAAUACAUCCAAAAAUAAAGUAUCCUCCUAUAUUUUAUACCAUCAUCCAAAAAAAAAAAAAAAAAAAAAAAAAAAAAAAAAACUAUCAACUCCCAAUUCUUAGGAAUUGGACAAAUGCUGAAGAAUGAAAAAAAUUAAAUGUUAACAAAUGGACAAAUCCAAUUCUCUGGAAGUGAAUGAAUCAAAAUUAAAUGCUUGAUCAUUUAAUAGUUCCAGCACAAUGUAUAUGAGGUUCAUCUAAAAGUUCCAGCCAUAUAUAGAGAUAACUUACGAACAUUUGUAUUGAAAAAACAAAACUUUGCAAAAGAAUUUUGAAUCACUCUUCCAUUAUGGCUGCACUACAAAUUCUUCAUCGAUGUCAGGUCUCCCACUCCUCGGCAAAAUGAAGAUUCAAGAUUGAAUUUUUAACAAAAAAUGAAAUUCUAAGUUAAGGUAAGAUUUCUUCUUUUACCUAUCUAAUAUUUAUAGGAACUGCAAUGCAUUUAAGCUUUCCCUCUCAUCUAGCAACUGAAGAAAGCAUAAACAAAUGAAAGUAAUUUAGAUGCAAGCUAAGCUCCAAGAAUCAAAGUUUCACAAAAAAUAAUUAAAGAAUGGAAAGAUGGCAUUAAAGCACCAUCUCUUCUGCAUUCAAACUUCACUACAAACUCUUCAUCGAUGUCAGGUCUCCCGUUCCUUGGCAAAAUGAAGAUUCAAGAUUGAAUUUUUAACAACAAAUGAAAUUCUAAGUAAAACAACUGAAGAUAAACAAAUGAAAGCAAUUUAGACACAAGUUAAGCUCCAAAAAUUACAGUUUCACAAAAAAGAGUUAAAGAAUGGAAAGAUGGCAUUAAAGCACCAUCUCUUUUGCAUUCAAACUGCACUAAAACUCUUCAUCGAUGUCAAGUCUCCUGCUUCUUGGCAAAAUGAAGAUUCAAGAUUGAAUUUUUAACAACAAAUGAAAUUCUAAGUAAAGGUAAGAUUUCUUCUUUUACCUAUCUAAUAUUUAUAGAAACUGCAGUGCAUUUCCCUCUCAUCUAGCAAUUGAAGAAAGCAUAAACAAAUGAAAGUAAUUUAGACACAAGUUACGCUCCAAGAAUUACAGUUUCACAAAAAAGAAUUAAAGAAUGGAAAGAUGGCAUUAAAACACCAUCUCUUUUGCAUGUUUGAAUUAUAUUUGAUUCCGGAACAUUAGCAUUGCCAUGAACUUUCUUGUACAAUUAAAAGAAAAUUUUUUAUUAGGUCAAAUAUGUUGAAGUAGAAAGAUUGACACAUCAUGGAAAAGUGGGAAGGUGACAAAAAAUAAAUGUUAAACUACUUUGUCGAAAUAUUGAGAAAAUAAAUAUUCCUUUAACAGCUCACACAUGUCAUAUAACAUCUAUGAAAUGGAAUGCAGUUAAGUUGUAUUUUAGUAGAUGUGGAUUUGGUUCAUUCAAUCCACCACUAAGUCUAUCGAGAGAAUUAUUAGAUAGAAAAGAAAUUUACUGCGACCAUAUAUAUAUAUAUAUAUAUCAAACUUCUCACUAAUCAUUUUCAGUAAAAGAUAUGUUAAACCUAAAGUAACGGGAAUAACGCUUGUGGCAAAGCCCUUUCCCAUCCUUCACAAUAUAUGCUUUGAAUUUUGCUAACAUGUGAGAUGAAUUAGGCGCAAAAUAGUUGGUGAAAGUGAUUUUAGAUGAAAUGAAAUGAUUAUGGAACUACCAUUGGGCCAUUGAUGUAAUUGUUGGUAGUAUGCUAAUGCGGUAAUUUCAAUUCUUUAACACGAUAAAUACUAGAAGUUUUUUUCCGAAUUCUCCAAUUGGAAUAGUCAAGUUCGCCAAAACAAUAACAAAAUUUCACAUGGAUACAAAAGUCUCCCAAAUGACUCUUCGAUAAGAUUAAAAAAGGGAACCUUCUAUCAUUAGCUUUACUCUAUACAUUGAAGUGAUCCUAAAGCUUGAUAAAAACACAAAUUAUGACUUAACAUAUAUAUUGAAUUCCCAUCAUCAUGAUUUAGAGACCGAAUUAGAGCAUGUUUGGGAUGGCUUAUACGUAAUAUUGUAAAUAUGAGAGAGAGCAAGGCAAACCUUUUUUUUCUCAUACAUAUAUUUGCACAAGGUUAUCAAAGCUACGAAAGAGAACAGAGCAACAAAAAAAGAGGAUAUAUUACAAUCUAGAAAAUUUUUGACCAUGAUGGUGAACUUCCUGCAAAGAGCAUAUUGGAAGAAGAUGAUAAAAUCCAGAACGUUACGUUAAAAUCAAGUACGAUUAGAGCUAUUAGAAAAUAUACACAGCAAACUUGAAGUUCUGUCCAUUUAUUCCCAUAUAAUUGAUGAUAAUAAGCUAGGACUAAUAAUUCCUCUUCAGUCCAUGUGUCUUUUUUAAAUGAUCGUGCCCCUUUAAGAUUAUGUGCAGCAACAGAACUUUAGAACAUAGGCUAUGUCUUAACAUUAAGUAAAAACAUCAAAGGUUUAACUAAUUAUGUAGACGAGUACAUCUCUUGCUUUAUUUAUGACGAAAAGUGUGCAAUUGUCCUUAGAAGAAUAAUAGAAUCCAAUCUUAUGCUUUUCACGUGCAAGUAAUGACCCUUCAACCUAUUUAAAUGAUGGAGUGUGUUGAAGACUAUUUAAAUGAUGUACACGUGGUAUUAUCUGACAAUAUAAGCUUUUAGAUUUAGUGUUAAAAUGGUGACUAAAUAAAACAAGAGGAAAUAAAAAAACAUAGCUUAAUUGUGAUAUAUUAUUUAAACAAAUGAUUGCCCAUAAGUAUGUUUAUUGUAGUUCUUUCUAAUAAAAGAGCCUCAAACUAUCAUUAUGAAUACGGUCAAGCCUAUCAGUCAUGUAAAGAAACAUUGAAAAAAAAAACUAUCGUAACAUGAUAACCUCAUUUCAAUAUCUAUAUAAAGAAAUAAAGAACCUUUGAUUUGCAAGAACUUCUAUAUAGAUCGAAGAACCAUGUCUACCAAUCAAUUUAAGAACCAUAUGACAUUUUAUUAUCUAAAUCAUUAUCCACACAAGGGAAUAAAUUAAGUGAUGAAACGAGGGCAUUUAGUAUACAUUUGUUUAACAGGAUAACAAACAAUUUAAUCAUUUUUCUGCAUUGUAAUUGGUCUAAUAAGAGGAUCGUGACAAGAUCCGCUAAAUUAUGAAUUGAUUUUUGUGUACAACUCUAAUCUAAGUGUAUGCCAAACACGUCCUUUAAGUUGGCAACUGGAUAGAAUUAACAAAUUCCAGUAGGAGAAAAAAAUACAAAGUAAAACUUACAUUUCUACCAUGCCUCAGUGCAUUAUAAAGGAAUUGAUGACAUCUUUAAAACAAUUUUAAUUAUAGUACUCACUCAAAAUGUCCUUUUGAGUGCUAGCUAUUGUGAAAACUUUUAUAUUUUGACGUAACUAUAACAAACCAUUUAUUAUUGAUCGAACCAUUUAUAUUCACACAUUUUACGGAACCACAAAUACUACCCACUUAUCUAUUAUUGGUUCCUAUCUAUAAUAAUUUAUUAAACGGUUUACAAGCACUUCUCAAACAGGUCAACUUUAUUUUUUACAUUGUGGAUUUGAAUAAUAUUGUGAAGUUCAGGGAGUUAACUACACAAUUCAUUUUGUUUUAGUCGUAGAUAAAUUAUUCCAAUUCGUCAAAAUCUACUACAAAUAGCAUAGAUGUAUCCAUACAAAAACAAUUCCCGAAAUUCCUUAAGGGAAGAAAUAAUUGCAGAUGAAACAUUCCAAUCAAUCAUAUUAUGAGAACCAAAACAAAAAUGUCACCACAAAAUCCAAUUGCAAUAGUUCAUGAUGCAAAUAGAAAUUGUUGUAUAAUUAAUCAGAAUCAAAUAUGAAUAGGAAAAAUGUAUCCAAUCAAAACCCAAUAACUACCGUACAAAAAAGGAAAGAGAAAAUUGCAGACAAAAUACUCAAGUUAAUUGGAGUUAAAUACGAAAAAAAGCAUCCAUAACAAACCUAAUUGUUAGAAUUCACAAGGGGAAACAUAAAAUUCCUACCAAAAUACUAAAGUUAAUCAAAAUCAACUACUAAUCACAAAGAUGUAUUGUCGUGGAAAAUGGGGAACAUGGACUCAACUGCACAAAGGGCUUUAAAAUAAUUUUGUAGGAGGUCACGGCGUGCGGCAAUGAAUAGAAAGGGGUAAAACCUUUUUAUAGUAGCAAAUUAAGUUUUACUUGCCAAAAAAUCUUUUUUUAAUUAUUCUCUCGGUCGUUCUCUUUCUUGACGAUGAAAACUUCAAACCUCUACAAAAGAAAAUAAAAACAAAAGAUUAAAAUUUUUGGGAUGAAACCUCUGGCUAAAUUAAGCGGUAUAUACGAAAAAUAGAAAAUAGAAAGUCAAGUAAUUGUGUGGGAGAAGUGCAAAGAAGAACGGUAGUUUGUGUGUGAAAAUGGAGAAAUGGGAGAGAGAAAGAAGUAUGUGAAAGAGAAGAAAGAAAUGAUAGUUGUGUGUGGGAUUGGUGUAGAAAUAAAGCGCAGCUCUGUUCAGACAUUGCAUCUACAAUAAAAUGGGAUUUGGUUACUAUUGCAUCUACAGUAACCCUUUAUUGCCCUUUUGAUUUAAUAUUAGAUUAAAAAGAAUUUUAAAUUGAAAUUUUUUUUUAUCUAUAAUGUUGUAUAAAAAAAUAAAAAAUAAGAUUUCCUCCGUGCACGGAGGCAUGCAUGGAGACAUUGUCUCCAUGCAUAGAAAAAUAUCUCCAUGCACGGAGGCUUUUAGCCUCCUCCGUGCACGGAGGUUUCUUUUUCUUUUUCUUUUUCCUUUUUGUUUGUCUUGUUUUAUUUUGUUGUCUUAUUUUGUUUUGUUUUUUACACUACAAGUAUUUUUUUUUUCAAUUUAAAAUUCCUUUCUCUUCAAAUUUAUACUUGUAACUUUUUACUUUUUAGAAAUAUUUUCUGUCUUAUUAUUAGUAUUUUUAUUUUUUAAUAAUUCCAACCAGUGGGGGUUAUGAAAAAUUGCGUGUUGGAGUAAAUUUAGAUUGCCUUUUUUACUGUAUAAUAUAAUAAAAUAUAUAUAUCUAGCAAAAACAAACGACAUUGUUUUUGCUCUCCCACUUAAAAAAAAAAUGCAACAGCGAGACAAAAUGGCAUAAGUCACUGUUGAUUUCUACAGAAACUUCACAUUCUCCUAUUUAUAUAGUAGGGAUAUGUCUCCUAGAGAUAAUACUUUACUUCUAUUACGAACGUGGAUAACAUAGAAAAGGUCAAGCCUUCUUUUACAACAGCUUCGGUCAACUGUUAUAUAUGUUCUUUUUGCACGACAUCAUGACAUUGUGCCGAAAAUCAGGGGAAAAAGAAUAAAAUCACUUAGCCAAGCUUAAAAAUAGGGGAGUGAAGAGACAAACUGAUGUAUUAGAAAAUGAUUGAAUGUUUUUGUUUUAAUUUUUCAAGCUGUUCAAUCAUGCGUCGACACAUGUCCCAUCUGAAUUUGAGCCUGGAUGUGUAACAUUAUCGGGGAAAAAAGGGUAUUGUUGUAAUAAUUUUGAGACUAAGUAAUUAAAUCCAUGAAGACCAUGAGCUAGGCAGCACCUUCAAGUUCUUGAGUGCAAAGAAGAAAGUGAGUUAUAAGUGACGAGGUUUUUUUAUCCAAAAUACAACAGUGCCUUAUAUAUUCAGAAAAUUGAACUAAAUAUCAGCAAACAUCAUUUGAGUUCGCUGUGAUUCGGUGAAAAACGAAAAUAGGCGAGCUUUAGAUGAAAAAGGGCAUUCCCUUAGCCCAUGUCAUCUGGAACAACUAGUCCAAACAAAGAAGAGCAAGAUCGAGAUAUAAACUUUGUGACCGGAAUGAGAACUACUCCAAUGUAUUUCAUAUGAUUGAAUAUGCAAAUUGCUUUAUUAUAUUCCAAUGUAGAGUCAUUUGAUAUAUCUUGAUUUGGUAGUUUUUCACUCUUACGAUUGAUUCGUCACUCAUCACCACACGAUUGCAUUUUCGAUUGUCUAGACAGUAUUAAUAUUAUUCGUAUAGAAAUUUGCAAGCUUACUUUUUCUAAAUAAUGGAGAAAAUUAGAACAAGACGGCAACAAAAAGCUAGAAGCCACAAAGAGGUUGACAUGCCAUAUUCGCCAAUUAAUGAUCAAUGAUUUCGAAGGAACUAGAUCUACCUGUUUUUUAUUUCCAUUCAACAGCUUUUAAGUCGCCAAUCCAUAUGUAUUAAUGAUAAAACCCAAACAACUACCAUUCAAUAGAGGUGAAUAUGAAUAUCAGAAAAUACGGUUGACUUUCUUCCAUUGCCUUGUAAUAAAAUAAUAUUUAUAUAAAGUUCAGAGAAAUUAAACAUGAGAACUCAACAGCGAAAAAAAUAAAUAUCCACAAAACACGUCUAGGAAAUAUUUGCUUGGAGAUUAUUCAAACAUGGAAAACUUGGAAUUCGCAAUUGUGAUCCCCCCAUCAACAAAAAGGUUGUGUCCAUGAACACACUUCGACUCAUCGCUAGCCAAGAACAGAACAGCGUCAGCCACAUCCUCUGGCUUAAGUGAAACACCUUUGAGGAUAGAAUAUACAUUUCCGAAUCCCUCAUCAUCCAUUUUGUAGAAAUCCUUCGACUGUUGUGUAGGAACUACGUGUGGUGACACACAGUUUACGCGAAUGCCAUGUUUUCCAAGCUCCACAGCCAAAUUCUUUGUCAGUCCCACCACCCCAUGUUUUGAACUUACGUAAUUGUGUGAAGAACCACCGCCUAUUUUCGAACAAGUACUCGCUGUUGUGAUUAUGUUCCCACUGCGAUUCGGGAUCAUUACUCGAGCAGCGUGUUUAGCACACAAGAACGGACCUACGAGGUUUACAUUAAUAAUCUUUUCGAAUUUUGUUAGUACAAUAUUCAUAGUCUACUGAAAACUCGUGUGAUAAUUGCCAGCCCAACUAUCAAAAUAACAUGCCUUGUACUUUGAGAAAGAAACCUCAAGAAUAAAUAGUUACAUUUUAAUUAUCAGA
Molecule: long non-coding RNA, 34827 nt
Filed under: Olea europaea (common olive)
Lineage: Eukaryota; Viridiplantae; Streptophyta; Magnoliopsida; Lamiales; Oleaceae
Description: long non-coding RNA (OEUR_LNC006440)
Source: RNAcentral